RNAcentral lists this ribosomal RNA (455 nucleotides) under Klebsiella quasipneumoniae subsp. similipneumoniae. Its description in RNAcentral is "bacterial SSU rRNA". It matches the Rfam family "Bacterial small subunit ribosomal RNA", at positions 1 to 454 of the family's 1533-position model. The record is from RNAcentral. RNAcentral also lists the same sequence under 1 other name. Lineage: Bacteria; Pseudomonadati; Pseudomonadota; Gammaproteobacteria; Enterobacterales; Enterobacteriaceae.
AAAUUGAAGAGUUUGAUCAUGGCUCAGAUUGAACGCUGGCGGCAGGCCUAACACAUGCAAGUCGAGCGGUAGCACAGAGAGCUUGCUCUCGGGUGACGAGCGGCGGACGGGUGAGUAAUGUCUGGGAAACUGCCUGAUGGAGGGGGAUAACUACUGGAAACGGUAGCUAAUACCGCAUAACGUCGCAAGACCAAAGUGGGGGACCUUCGGGCCUCAUGCCAUCAGAUGUGCCCAGAUGGGAUUAGCUAGUAGGUGGGGUAACGGCUCACCUAGGCGACGAUCCCUAGCUGGUCUGAGAGGAUGACCAGCCACACUGGAACUGAGACACGGUCCAGACUCCUACGGGAGGCAGCAGUGGGGAAUAUUGCACAAUGGGCGCAAGCCUGAUGCAGCCAUGCCGCGUGUAUGAAGAAGGCCUUCGGGUUGUAAAGUACUUUCAGCGGGGAGGAAGGCGA